RNAcentral lists this ribosomal RNA (852 nucleotides) under uncultured bacterium. RNAcentral describes it as "bacterial SSU rRNA". It matches the Rfam family "Bacterial small subunit ribosomal RNA", at positions 21 to 881 of the family's 1533-position model. The record is from RNAcentral.
GGCUCAGAACGAACGCUGGCGGCGUGCCUAACACAUGCAAGUCGAACGGGGUCAUUUGGAAGUAGCAAUACGGAAGGAUGACUUAGUGGCGGACGGGUGAGUAACACGUAGGUAACCAACCCUAAAGCGGGGGACAACCCAGGGAAACUUGGGCUAAUACCGCAUAAGACCACGAACUGGGAUGUUUGUGGUAAAAGCAGCAAUGCACUUUAGGCUGGGCCUGCGGCCUAUCAGGUAGUUGGUAAGGUAAUGGCUUACCAAGCCUAAGACGGGUAGCCGGACUGAGAGGUUGAACGGCCACACUGGAACUGAGACACGGUCCAGACUCCUACGGGAGGCAGCAGUGGGGAAUUUUGCACAAUGGGCGAAAGCCUGAUGCAGCGACGCCGCGUGGAGGAUGAAGGUCUUCGGAUUGUAAACUCCUUUUGUAGGGGAAGAUAAUGACGGUACCCUAUGAAUAAGCCACGGCUAACUCUGUGCCAGCAGCCGCGGUAAGACAGAGGUGGCAAGCGUUGUUCGGAAUUACUGGGCUUAAAGGGCGCGUAGGUGGUGAUAUAAGUCCGGGGUGGAAGGCUGAGGCUUAACCUUGGAAUUGCCCUGGAAACUGUAUCACUUGAGUCAGCGAGGGGAUGGCGGAAUUCCUGGUGUAGCGGUGAAAUGCGUAGAUAUCAGGAGGAAGGCCGGUGGCGAAGGCGGCCAUCUGGCGCUGAACUGACACUGAGGCGCGAAAGCGUGGGGAGCAAACAGGAUUAGAUACCCUGGUAGUCCACGCCCUAAACGGUGGGCACUAGGUGUAGGGCUCGUAAGGGUUCUGUGCCGAAGGGAAACCAUUAAGUGCCCCGCCUGGGGAGU